RNAcentral lists this ribosomal RNA (500 nucleotides) under uncultured bacterium. RNAcentral's name for it is "partial 16S ribosomal RNA". It matches the Rfam family "Bacterial small subunit ribosomal RNA", at positions 30 to 523 of the family's 1533-position model. The record is from RNAcentral.
AUUGAACGCUGGCGGCAUGCCUUACACAUGCAAGUCGAACGGCAGCACGGGAGCAAUCCUGGUGGCGAGUGGCGAACGGGUGAGUAAAGUAUCGGAACGUGCCCAGUCGUGGGGGAUCACGUAGCGAAAGUUACGCUAAUACCGCAUACGAUCUAUGGAUGAAAGCGGGGGAUCGCAAGACCUCGCGCGAUUGGAGCGGCCGAUAUCAGAUUAGGUAGUUGGUGGGGUAAAGGCUCACCAAGCCGACGAUCUGUAGCUGGUCUGAGAGGACGACCAGCCACACUGGGACUGAGACACGGCCCAGACUCCUACGGGAGGCAGCAGUGGGGAAUUUUGGACAAUGGGCGAAAGCCUGAUCCAGCCAUGCCGCGUGCAGGAUGAAGGCCUUCGGGUUGUAAACUGCUUUUGUACGGAACGGAAAGGUUUGGGCUAAUAAGCUGAGCUCAUGACGGUACCGUAAGAAUAAGCACCGGCUAACUACGUGCCAGCAGCCGCCGUAA